Molecule: ribosomal RNA, 301 nt
Filed under: uncultured bacterium
Lineage: Bacteria
Description: partial 16S ribosomal RNA
Rfam family: Bacterial small subunit ribosomal RNA
Source: RNAcentral
CAGCAGCCGCGGGAAUACGGGGGGGGCUAGCGUUGUUCGGAAUUACUGGGCGUAAAGCGCACGUAGGCGGCUUGGUAAGUUAGAGGUGAAAGCCCGGAGCUCAACUCCGGAAUUGCCUUUAAGACUGCCGAGCUAGUAGGUGAGAGAGGUAAGUGGAAUUCCGAGUGUAGAGGUGAAAUUCGUAGAUAUCGGGAGGAACAUCAGUGGCGAAGGCGGCCAUCUGGGACAACACUGACGCUGAGGCACGAAAGCGUGGGGAGCAAACAGGAUUAGAUACCCCGGUAGUCCCUGUCUCUUAUAC